RNAcentral lists this small nuclear RNA (107 nucleotides) under Rhinolophus ferrumequinum (greater horseshoe bat). Lineage: Eukaryota; Metazoa; Chordata; Mammalia; Chiroptera; Rhinolophidae. The record is from RNAcentral.
GUGCUUGCUUCGGCAGCACAUAUACUAAAAUUGGAACGAUGCAGAGAAGAUUAGCAUGGCCCCUGCACAAGCACGACACGCAAAUUCAUGGAGCGUUCCAUAUUUUU